RNAcentral lists this ribosomal RNA (449 nucleotides) under Vibrio nigripulchritudo. RNAcentral describes it as "bacterial SSU rRNA". It matches the Rfam family "Bacterial small subunit ribosomal RNA", at positions 65 to 507 of the family's 1533-position model. The record is from RNAcentral. Lineage: Bacteria; Pseudomonadati; Pseudomonadota; Gammaproteobacteria; Vibrionales; Vibrionaceae.
AACAUUUCAAAAGCUUGCUUUUGGAGAUGACGAGCGGCGGACGGGUGAGUAAUGCCUGGGAAAUUGCCCUGAUGUGGGGGAUAACCAUUGGAAACGAUGGCUAAUACCGCAUAGUAGCUUCGGCUUAAAGAGGGGGACCUUCGGGCCUCUCGCGUCAGGAUAUGCCCAGGUGGGAUUAGCUAGUUGGUGAGGUAAAGGCUCACCAAGGCGACGAUCCCUAGCUGGUCUGAGAGGAUGAUCAGCCACACUGGAACUGAGACACGGUCCAGACUCCUACGGGAGGCAGCAGUGGGGAAUAUUGCACAAUGGGCGCAAGCCUGAUGCAGCCAUGCCGCGUGURUGAAGAAGGCCUUCGGGUUGUAAAGYACUUUCAGUCGUGAGGAAGGGUGUGUAUUUAAUAGAUGCGCACUUUGACGUUAGCGACAGAAGAAGCACCGGCUAACUCCGUG